AGGAUUCGCGAACGGUGAUUUGCAUCGGGGUUGGCUCAGUGGCAACGGGCUCACAACCAAUGAACCUGCGAGAAUAGAAACUUCAAGGAUCGGCUCGACUUAAGGACAGGCUCGACAGCAGCUCGAGUCGGGGCUCCGCAGCACAGUUAGCUUGAUGGGAUAGGACACGUCGGGAACAGUAGUGGGUGACGAUAAGAUAAACUCGGUAGGACAACGGGCGGUGCAAUGGCAGCGGGUCGUCGCGGGUGGUUCGGACACGGCGGAAGCAACAUGUGAGUCUCAAGCGGAAGGCAUCACUUCAGGGGGUGCGACUUCGGUUCACGACAACUGCUACUUUGCUGCUACGUAGGUUUGGCAAGGCUGGGCUCGUCAGAACAAGUGUGUAACAGCAAGGUAGCUUGCUAGUUUGCUACUGGGUUGAGUGUUCCUUCAAUGGACAGCUAACACCAAUGACACCAAGGCCUUGGAGGCGUGAACACGAGGGAAGUCACGGGCUGCUCUCCAAAUGGUGGACUUUUCCCUUCAAGGCCUCACCUCCAUUAAUACCUCCAAGAAAUUUGGGUACGUGUGGAUCUCAAGAGAGAAUGAAUUCGUAAAAGUCCGCGAGCGGUGCUCCGAAGCGGGAGCUUGCCGAUGUUGCGGGUGCGGCAAACUUCACGACCAGGGACGUAACGGGUUCAUCAACACAGGCUAGAAAUCAGCAAAACCGAUCGUCACUGGAACAAGGAAUGACAGCAGUGGCGUGCGGCAUGUGACGAGGGAUGGCAGAUUGGGCUACCGCAGCGAGACCAAAGCGGCAGCAUCCUUGGGAGAAUGACCCACGUCGAAACUUGAGCAGUAUGCGGCGUGGUCUAAGCAAAGGUUACGCCGAGAUCUCCUCUUUCUCUCUAUUCCUCAAUUCUCACGUGUAUCUCUCUAUGCUUCCCCCCACGAUUUCUCCUUUCAAUUCUUUCUGGCAGUGUGUUUCUCUAUGCUCUCCUAGAAUUAUGGCCGUCUUCAUCUGUGCGGGUCAACCCCUUUUAUAUGCAACGAAAUAGAGCUCCCUAUAUGGAAGAAGCAAAAU
Molecule: long non-coding RNA, 1063 nt
Filed under: Eucalyptus grandis
Lineage: Eukaryota; Viridiplantae; Streptophyta; Magnoliopsida; Myrtales; Myrtaceae
Description: long non-coding RNA (EGRA_LNC006409)
Source: RNAcentral